AGAGUUUGAUCCUGGCUCAGGACGAACGCUGGCGGCGUGCCUAACACAUGCAAGUCGAACGGGGUGAGGCCCUUCGGGACCUUUACCUAGUGGCGAACGGGUGAGUAACGCGUGAGGAACCUGCCUUUCAGUGGGAGACAACAGUUGGAAACGACUGCUAAUACCGCAUGAAGCUUUUGGGAGACAUCUCCUGGAAGCCAAAGCUUAAUGUGCUGAAAGAUGGCCUCGCGUCUGAUUAGCUAGUUGGUGGGGUAACGGCCCACCAAGGCGACGAUCAGUAGCCGGUCUGAGAGGAUGAACGGCCACAUUGGGACUGAGAUACGGCCCAGACUCCUACGGGAGGCAGCAGUGGGGAAUAUUGGGCAAUGGGCGAAAGCCUGACCCAGCAACGCCGCGUGAAGGAAGAAGGCCUUCGGGUUGUAAACUUCUUUUACCAGGGACGAAGGACGUGACGGUACCUGGAGAAAAAGCAGCGGCUAACUACGUGCCAGCAGCCGCGGUAAUACGUAGGUUGCAAGCGUUGUCCGGAUUUACUGGGUGUAAAGGGUGUGUAGGCGGAGAUGCAAGUUAGGAGUGAAAUCUAUGGGCUCAACCCAUAAACUGCUUCUAAAACUGUAUCCCUUGAGUAUCGGAGAGGCAAGCGGAAUUCCUAGUGUAGCGGUGAAAUGCGUAGAUAUUAGGAGGAACACCAGUGGCGAAGGCGGCUUGCUGGACGACAACUGACGCUGAGGCGCGAAAGCGUGGGGAGCAAACAGGAUUAGAUACCCUGGUAGUCCACGCUGUAAACGAUGAAUACUAGGUGUGGGUGGACUGACCCCCUCCGUGCCGCAGUUAACACAAUAAGUAUUCCACCUGGGGAGUACGACCGCAAGGUUGAAACUCAAAGGAAUUGACGGGGGCCCGCACAAGCAGUGGAUUAUGUGGUUUAAUUCGACGCAACGCGAAGAACCUUACCAGGACUUGACAUCCAACUAACGAAGUAGAGAUACAUCAGGUGCCCUUCGGGGAAAGUUGAGACAGGUGGUGCAUGGUUGUCGUCAGCUCGUGUCGUGAGAUGUUGGGUUAAGUCCCGCAACGAGCGCAACCCCUAUUGUUAGUUGCUACGAAAGAGCACUCUAGCGAGACUGCCGUUGACAAAACGGAGGAAGGCGGGGACGACGUCAAAUCACCAUGCCCCUUAUGUCCUGGGCUACACACGUAAUACAAUGGUGGCCAACAGAGGGAAGCGAAGCCGUGAGGCAGAGCAAAUCCCUAAAAGCCAUCUCAGUUCGGAUUGCAGGCUGCAACUCGCCUGCAUGAAGCUGGAAUUGCUAGUAAUCGCGGAUCAGCAUGCCGCGGUGAAUACGUUCCCGGGCCUUGUACACACCGCCCGUCACACCAUGAGAGUCGGGAACACCCGAAGUCCGUAGUCUAACCGCAAGGGGGGCGCGGCCGAAGGUGGGUCCGGUAAUUGGGGUGAAGUCGUAACAAGGUA
RNAcentral lists this ribosomal RNA (1474 nucleotides) under metagenome. Its description in RNAcentral is "bacterial SSU rRNA". It matches the Rfam family "Bacterial small subunit ribosomal RNA". The record is from RNAcentral.